This 424-nucleotide ribosomal RNA is filed under the name Fusobacteriota bacterium. RNAcentral describes it as "Fusobacteria bacterium partial 16S ribosomal RNA". It matches the Rfam family "Bacterial small subunit ribosomal RNA", at positions 355 to 776 of the family's 1533-position model. Lineage: Bacteria; Fusobacteriati; Fusobacteriota. The record is from RNAcentral.
UGAGGAAUAUUGGUCAAUGGGCGAGAGCCUGAACCAGCCAAGUAGCGUGCAGGAUGACGGCCCUAUGGGUUGUAAACUGCUUUUAUGCGGGGAUAAAGUGUGCGACGUGUCGUGCAUUGCAGGUACCGCAUGAAUAAGGACCGGCUAAUUCCGUGCCAGCAGCCGCGGUAAUACGGAAGGUCCGGGCGUUAUCCGGAUUUAUUGGGUUUAAAGGGAGCGUAGGCCGCCAGAUAAGCGUGUUGUGAAAUGUACCGGCUCAACCGGUGAAUUGCAGCGCGAACUGUUUGGCUUGGGUGCACGGUAAGCAGGCGGAAUUCAUGGUGUAGCGGUGAAAUGCUUAGAUAUCAUGAGGAACUCCGAUUGCGAAGGCAGCUUGCUGCAGUGCGACUGACGCUAAUGCUCGAAGGUGCGGGUAUCAAACAGG